This 7942-nucleotide long non-coding RNA is filed under the name Gossypium barbadense (sea-island cotton). RNAcentral describes it as "long non-coding RNA (GBAR_LNC018832)". The record is from RNAcentral. Lineage: Eukaryota; Viridiplantae; Streptophyta; Magnoliopsida; Malvales; Malvaceae.
UAAAAAUGUGUUUUCGUAUAGUAAUGGAUCCCGAUCGAGCCGUAGCCGAUGAUGUUGAGAGUAUAGCGCCUGCUCCCGCACAAGGGACAGAGCCGGUAGAUUCUCGACCGACCUCGAGUAACCAGGAGGGAGAGGCUAAACAAGCCUUCUACCAAAUGAUGAAUGACUGGUUUACUCAUUAUGUCCGAACUAAUCCGGUUACACAACAACCUCCACCCCCGACUAAUCCAUCUUCGAUUCCUGUUAUACCCCAAGUAAGUGAUCCGAUGAGAUUACUUAAGCCUCCGGUUGACAAAAUUCGAAAACACGGGGCCGAAGAGUUCAGAGCUACUGAUGAUGAUGAUGCUGAGCGAGCUGAAUUCUGGCUUGAUAAUACUAUUCGAGUGUUUGAUGAGUUGUCUUGCACCCCUGAUGAGUGCUUGAAAUGUGCCAUAUCCUUGCUACGGGACACUGCAUAUCACUGGUGGAAUACACUAGCAUCGGUGGUUCCGAAAGAGCGAGUGACCUGGGAAUUCUUUCAGACUGAGUUUCGUAAGAAAUACAUCAGCCAGAGAUUUAUUGAUCAGAAACGUAAGGAAUUUCUUGAACUGAAACAGGGUCGUAUGACAGUGACAGAAUAUGAACGGAAAUUUGUGAGACUUAGUAGAUAUGCUCGAGAGUGUGUUUCAACUGAAGCUAUCAUGUGUAGAAGAUUUGAAGAUGGGCUGAACGAAGAUAUUAAACUGUUAGUUGGUAUACUUGAGAUAAAAGAGUUCGUAGUACUUGUUGAACGAGCUUGUAAAGCUGAGGAGCUCGGGAAAGAGAAGAGGAAAGCUGACUAUGAAGCUCGAGAUUCUCGUAAAAGAUCAUUCAGUAAAUCAUUUCAGUCGACCUCAAGGAAAUUCAGAGCGGAUCAUAGCCAAUCUAAAGCUACUGCAGGGUUUCCUAAGUAUGAUCGAGAUCGACCCCCUGUGAGUUCACGAGCUACUUCAGUUGCUAGCGUUGGUAGUGUUCGACAAAAUAGAUCAGAGUGCAAGCAUUGUGGGAAAUGGCAUCCUGAGGAUUGCAGAUUCCAUGAUCGGUCUUGCUUCAAGUGUGGUUCAAAAGAUCAUUUCAUUCGAGAGUGUCCGAUGGUAGCUGAGCAAAACACUGUGCAGGAUACCAGACCGAGUAAUGUGCCAGUCCGAGGUAGACCGCCGAGACAAUUGAGUAAUGUAAGUGGUAGUCAGAGAGGAACCAGGGACACAGCAAUUCGAUCUGAGGCCCGUGCACCUGCCAGAGCUUAUGCCAUCCGUGCUCGAGAGGAGGCUUCUUCUCCAGAUGUUAUUACUGGUACUUUCACUCUUUAUGAUACUAAUGUUAUUGCAUUGAUUGAUCCUGGUUCGACUCAUUCUUAUGUGUGUGAGACUUUAGUAUUCAGUAAGACUUUGCCUGUUGAGUCUACUGAGUUUGUAAUUAAAGUAUCGAACCCCCUGGGCCGGUGUGUUUUGGUUGACAAAGUGUGCAAGAAUUGUCCGUUGAUGAUUCGAGAUUUAUGUUUUCCAGCUGAUUUGAUGUUGUUACCAUUCGACGAGUUCGAUAUAAUUCUGGGUAUGGAUUGGUUAACUCUGCAUGAUGCUAUUGUAAACUGCAAACGGAAAACUAUUGAUUUACGGUGUCAGAAUGAUGAGAUUAUUCGGAUCGAAUCUAAUGAUCUUAAUGGUUUAUCAGCAAUAAUAUCCUCGAUGUCGGCUCAGAAGUAUGUGAGAAGGGGUUGUGAAGCUUACCUUGCAUUUGUUCUUGAAAGUAAAGUGACCGAAAAGAAGAUUGAAUCUGUACCAGUAGUGUGUGAGUAUUCAGACGUGUUUCCCGAAGAAUUACUGGGUUUGCCACCUAUUCGAGAGGUAGAGUUUGGUAUUGAGUUAGUACCAGGGACGACUCCCAUAUCGAUAGCUCCGUACCGUAUGGCACCGACCGAAUUAAAAGAAUUGAAAGUACAGUUGCAAGAGCUGACUGAUAAAGGUUUUGCACGACCGAGUUUCUCUCCUUGGGGUGCACCAGUUCUAUUUGUGAGAAAGAAAGACGGAACGAUGAGAAUGUGCAUUGAUUACCGGCAACUCAAUAAAGUGACUAUAAAGAAUAAGUAUCCGUUACCACGGAUUGAUGAUUUGUUCGAUCAGUUGAAAGGGGCUACUGUGUUUUCAAAGAUAGAUCUGAGAUCAGGCUACUAUCAGUUGCGAGUUAAAGACUCUGAUGUGCCAAAGACUGCUUUCCGAACGAGGUACGGACAUUAUGAGUUUCUUGUUAUACCUUUCGGACUUACUAAUGCACCUGCUAUUUUCAUGGAUUUGAUGAAUCGGAUCUUUAGGAAGUGUCUGGAUCGGUUUGUGGUAGUAUUUAUUGAUGACAUUUUGAUCUACUCUCGAGACGAAAAUGAGCAUGCUGAACAUCUGAGACUUGUGUUACAAACUUUGCGAGAUAAGCAGUUGUAUGCAAAGUUUAGUAAAUGUGAGUUCUGGUUACGUGAAGUCAGUUUUCUGGGCCAUGUUGUAUCAGCAUCGGGUAUUUCGGUUGAUCCGAGUAAAAUUUCAGCUAUACUUGAUUGGAAACCUCCGAGGAAUGUUUCGGAAGUUCGAAGCUUUCUGGGGCUCGCUGGCUAUUAUAGACGUUUUGUGAAAGGGUUCUCUAUGACUGCGACCCCGAUGACAAGGCUACUACAAAAAGACGUUAAGUUUGAGUGGUCAGAAAAGUGCCAGAAAAGUUUCGAUCAGUUGAAAGCUCUUUUAACCAAAGCUCCAGUCCUAGUUCAACCCGAAUCGGGUAAAGAGUUUAUUAUCUAUAGUGAUGCAUCUUUAAAUGGUUUGGGCUGUGUAUUGAUGCAGGAAGGCAAAGUUGUAGCCUAUGCCUCGAGACAGUUAAAGCCGCAUGAAAAGAACUAUCCGACGCAUGAUCUGGAAUUGGCCGCUAUUGUAUUUGCGUUAAAAAUAUGGCGUCACUAUCUGUUUGGCGAAAGAUGUCAUGUUUAUUCCGAUCAUAAAAGCUUGAAAUAUUUGAUGACUCAGAAAGAUCUGAAUUUGAGACAGCGUCGAUGGUUAGAAUUGUUGAAAGAUUACGAGCUCGUGAUUAACUAUCAUCCGGGAAAGGCUAAUGUUGUUGCUGAUGCCCUAAGUCAAAAAUCACUGUUUGCUUUGCGUGCAAUGAAUGCACAUAUGGUUAUGUCUGAUGAUGGUGCGAUAGUAGCUGAGUUGAAAGCAAAACCGUUAUUUAUUCAACAGAUUUGUGAAGCUCAAAAAGCCGAUGAUGAUUUAAUUGCAAAACGAACUCAGUGUGACUUAAAUGUUGAUUCAGAGUUUCUAGUUGAUACUGAGGACUGUUUGAGAUUCAGAAACCGAUUAUGUGUUCCGAAAAAUCCAGAGUUAAUUCAGAUGAUUUUGAAUGAAGCCCAUAAUAGUCGAUUUUCUAUUCAUCCGGGUAGCACGAAAAUGUAUAAUGAUCUGAAACAACACUAUUGGUGGCAUGGAAUGAAACGAGACAUUUCUGACUUUGUUUCGAAAUGUUUAAUAUGUCAGCAAGUAAAACCCAAGCAUCAGGUACCUUCUGGAUUGCUGCAGCCGAUCAUGAUACCUGAAUGGAAAUGGGACAGAGUUACGAUGGAUUUUGUAUCUGGUUUACCGUUAACACCCAGCAAGAAAGAUGCAAUUUGGGUUGUUGUUGAUAGAUUGACAAAAUCGGCUCACUUUAUUCCGGUUCGUAUUGAUUAUUCGCUUGAUAAACUUGCUGAAUUGUACAUUUCUCAGAUUGUAAAAUUGCACGGAGUGCCUAUUUCUAUUAUUUCGGACAGAGACCCGAGAUUUACAUCGCGGUUUUGGAAGAAAUUACAAGAUGCAUUAGGUACGAAACUACAUUUUAGCACAGCUUUCCAUCCGCAAACAGAUGGUCAAUCGGAGCGAAUUAUACAGAUACUUGAGGACAUGUUGAGAUGUUGCAUUCUCGAGUUUGAAGGUACGUGGGAACGAUAUUUACCUUUGAUUGAAUUUGCUUAUAAUAACAGCUUUCAAUCUAGUAUUAAAAUGGCACCUUAUGAGGCUUUGUACGGUCGUAAAUGUCGUACACCACUGUAUUGGACCGAGCUCAGUGAAAAUAGGAUACACGGGGUUGAUUUGAUUAAAGAGACCGAACAGAAAGUGAAAGUGAUUCGGGACAGCCUGAAAUCAGCAUCAGAUCGUCAGAAAUCUUAUGCGGAUUUGAGAAGAAAAGAUAUAGAAUUUUAGAUCGGCGAUAAAGUGUUUUUGAAAGUCUCACCGUGGAAGAAAGUACUCAGAUUCGGUCGUAAAGGCAAAUUGAGUCCAAGAUUCAUUGGACCGUAUGAGAUUAUAGAACGUGUCGGACCGGUUGCUUAUAGAUUGAUGUUACCACCUGAGUUAGAAAAGAUUCACAAUGUAUUUCAUGUUUCGAUGCUCCGUAGAUACCGAUCUGAUCCUUCACAUGUGAUUUGUCCGACGGAGAUUGAAAUUAACCCUGAUAUGUCAUAUGAAGAAGAACCGAUUAGCAUUCUGGCUCGUGAGAUCAAGGAAUUACGAAAUAAGAAAAUUCCGUUAGUUAAAGUAUUGUGGCAUAAACACGGAGUUGAAGAAGCAACUUGGGAGUCAGAGGAUACAAUGAAGGAGCGUUAUCCAAACCUAUUCACCGGUAAGAUUUUCGGGGACGAAAAUCCCUAAGGGGGGAGAGUUGUAACAACCCGGUUUUGACCCUAAUCAGAAUAGUGGUUUCAGGACCACAAAUCUGAAUUAGAAAAAUAUUAUUAAUAUUAUUUUGUGUGUUUAUUUCGUGUGCAUUUGAUUGUGUAAAAUUUUCGUGUUUUAAUUUCGUCGUUUAAGUGUCCGAUUUAAUAAAAGGGUUUAAUCGCAUAAAAUAAAAGUUAAAGGUUAAAAUUUAAAAGCACCUAUUUGUAGUUGUCUUUUUAAGUGGGAGGUCUAAAGAUGUAAUUAGACCAAGAUUUAGUUAGUGGGUGGUAUAUGCCAACAUUGCCCUUAAGUUAUGUAAUUUAUAAUUUAUUUAAUUAAGGUUAAUUUAGUCAUUAAGUAAAUUAUAAUAUUAUAACUAAAAUAAGUCAUAAAAAGAUGAAUAUGUUCAUCUUUGUUAGCCAAAUAUUGGAAAGGAAGAAACCAUUCAUGGUUUCUUAAGUUUCGGCACUUUCAUAGCAAAAUUAAGGUAUGCUUUGGUUUCGGUUUUUGAUAAUUUUUACGUUUUUGAGAUCGUUGCUUUGAAUACUACCCGACCCAUGCUUGAAUUUCUAAUUUUAAUGAAUAUUUUGAGUUAUGCCAUUGAUGAAUAUUUGUGUUUUGUGAUGUUUGAUGAUGAAUAAUGGAAGAUAUGUCUUAGAUUAACAUGUUUUGUCUUGGGAUUUUUGAUGAAUUUGAGUAUUUAGGGCUAAAUUGUGAAAAUAAAUUUUUGAGGGACUAAAAUGUGAAAUAAAUGCAAUGUGUGGACUUGUAUGAGAACCAUGAAUAUUCGGCCCUUGUGUGUUAUGGGCAAAUUUUGUGUAUUUUGUGUUUUGUGCAAAAAAGGACUAAAUUGCAAAAAGUGCAAAAUGUUAGGGGCAAAAUGGUAAUUUUCCCAUUUAUGUAUUGUUGGACUCAAAUGAAUGUUUUGAUGAAUAAAAAGGUUAAAUUUGACUAUGUUUAGAUCAAGGAACGAAGAAAACGAAUUUGGAUCGGGGGAAGUCGAAGGUAAUCGAAUAGUCGAUCGUGUUUGCUGAUAUCCGAGGUAAGUCUAUUAGCAACUAAAAGUUAUUAAGUUAAUAUUUAUACAUGCAUACUAAUUUUAUCUUAUGAUUGAGCUAUAAUUUAAAGUAUAAUAGUUGAAUAAACUUUGGACUAUAGAUAUUGUAUAUAACAUGUUCGAAUAUAUAAGUAUGAUCUUGUAUAAAUUAUUGGAUUAAUCAAAGGUAUGUAUAAGAUAUAGGUAUAUAUAUAUAUGGUUUGAAUGAUUAUAUAAGUAUGUAUAUAUAUAUAUAAAGUCGAAUAAGCAUGCAAGUAUACAUGUAUGUGUUGUGUAUUGAAUUUAGUUAUGUCAUUAUAUAAGUAUGCGAGGAUUGAUUGUGCAUUUAUAUAUGUACAAGUUUUUGUUUUGAAAUUGAGUAUGAAAUUAUACAUUCAUAUGGUAGAUUCGAAUAUGUAUAAAUGCACAUGUAUAAAUUCUUGAAUCGAAAUUUGGUAUGGAAUUAUAUAUGUAUGUGAAAGUUUCGAUUUUGUAUGUAUAUUCACGUAAAAGUUUUUGAAUGGUAGUGAAGAUAUGAAAUUGUUAGUUUGAAUUAUUAUAAAGUGAUUGAAGUAAUUCAGACUUUAAGUCUAGCAGGCUUAAUGCCGGUGAUACAUUUCAGACUUUAAGUCUAGCAGGCUUAAUGCCGGUGAUACAUUUCAGACUUUAAGUCUAGCAGGCUUAAUGCCGGUGAUACAUUUCAGACUAUAUGUCUGGCAGGCUAAGUGCCGGUGUACUGAAUCAGGCUUUAAGCCUAGCAGGCAAAAUGCCGGUGAAUCUGUUUAAAUUGUGUUAGAAUAUGCAAUGGAUAUAUCUAUGAUUUGUGAUUAUAUGAAAUCGAUGAAUACAUAUGUACAUUAGAUAUAUGUGAUUGCUGAAUUUAUAAAUGCAUAUGAUAAUAUGUGGUAGUUAAACAUAUAUAUGUUGAGCCUAUGUGUUUGAUAAUUAAUCAUGUAUGCAUUUGAGAUAUAUAUAUAUAUGUGUGUAUUUCGAAUGUAUGUGUUACCUAGGUAUUCAGGUAUAAAUUCAUAAUGAGUAUAUUUAUAUACAAACAAAUAUAAGAUGUGAUUGAUGUAUAUAUAUUUGUGUUAGAUUUGAAUUGAUUUAGAACUUACCAUGAGUGUACAUAUACAAUCGGUUUGAUAUGUAUAUAAUAUGUAUAUAUAUGCUCGGUGGUAUACAUUCAAUUGUAAUGUUGUUUUGUAUAAUAUAUAUAUUAAACUGAAUUCAUCCGACAGGUAUACAUAUCUGACUAUAAAUGAAAUGGUCUGAGUAGAAUAAUGUAUGAAUGUUAGUUGGUUGUGUUAGUUGAAAUUUCAGUAGAAUAGAUUAAAAAGGUUAUAAUAAUUAUGUGUUUAUAAUUAUACAUUUAGUUAUGCUGGAGACUUACUAAGCUAUAAAAGCUUACUUCGUUUGCUUUCGUUCAUUCGUUUUUAUAGAUUUGGAGACGCGUUACGAGCUCGGGGAUCAUUAGCACAGUCCAUCAUACUAUCAACUUCUUUUGGUAUUUUGUUAAAUAUUUGAACUCGAUCUUAUGGCAUGUAUAGGCUUGAUAAUGUUUUGGUUAGUUUUGAAUCCUAUUGUGUAAAUAGCAAUGUGAAAAGAGUUUAGUUUCCAUGCUUGAAUUUGAUUAUAUAUGUUCAUGAAUUGGACUUGCAUUUGGAAUUAGAUAUUAAAGUUAUGUUUAUGUGAGCUUGGUUUCGAAAUGCCUCGUAACCCUGAUUCGGCGAUGGAGACGGGUUAGGGGUGUUACAUUUUAUUGGUAUCAGAGCUACGGUUUAGUCGAUUCUUGGACUAACGUAGCAUGUAUGAGUCUAGCUAUACAUGCCAUAAUUUUUAUAUCGAGAUAGUGUGAUGACUGCUGAUGUCUAAAAAUGUGUUUUCGUAUAGUAAUGGAUCCCGAUCGAGCCGUAGCCGAUGAUGUUGAGAGUAUAGCGCCUGCCCCCGCACAAAGGACAGAGCCGGUAGAUUCUCGACCGACCUCGAGUAACCAGGAGGGAGAGGCUAAACAAGCCUUCUACCAAAUGAUGAAUGACUGGUUUACUCAUUAUGUCCGAACUAAUCCGGUUACACAACAACCUCCACCCCCGACUAAUCCAUCUUCGAUUCCUGUUAUACCCCAAGUAAGUGAUCCGAUGAGAUUACUUAAGCCUCCGGUUGACAAAAUUCGAAAACACGGGGCCGAAGAGUUCAGAGCUACUGAUGAUGAUGAUGCUGAGCGAGC